AAGUCGAGGGGCAGCACGGUUAGCAAUAACUGGUGGCGACCGGCGCACGGGUGCGUAACACGUAUACAAUCUACCUUAACAGGGGGAUAGCCUUUCGAAAGAGAGUAUUAAUACCCCGUAUAAAUUGAACGGCAUCGUUUGAUUUGAAAGCUCCGGCGGUUUGAGAUGAGUAUGCGUCUGAUUAGCUAGUUGGUGAGGUAACGGCUCACCAAGGCGACGAUCAGUAGGGGACCUGAGAGGACUAACCCCCCACACUGGUACUGAGACACGGACCAGACUCCUACGGGAGGCAGCAGUAAGGAAUAUUGGUCAAUGGAGGCAACUCUGAACCAGCCAUGCCGCGUGCAGGAUGACGGCCCUAUGGGUUGUAAACUGCUUUUAUACAAGAGAAAACCCUGGUACGUGUACCAAGUUGAUAGUAUUGUAAGAAUAAGCAUCGGCUAACUUCGUG
RNAcentral lists this ribosomal RNA (451 nucleotides) under uncultured bacterium. RNAcentral describes it as "bacterial SSU rRNA". It matches the Rfam family "Bacterial small subunit ribosomal RNA", at positions 59 to 507 of the family's 1533-position model. The record is from RNAcentral.